AUGGCCUGGUCCUGUUUCCUCCUCACAUUCUUUGUUCAGUGCUCAGGGUCCUGGGUCCAGUCUGUGCUGAUUCAGCAGCCCUCACUGUCUGGGGCUUCAGAACAGAGUGUCACCAUCUCCUGCACUGGAAGCAGCAACAAUAUUGGUGACAAUUUCGUGCACUGGUAUCAGCAGCUCUCAGGAACAGCACCUAAACUCAUCAUCUAUGAUGAUAAUGAUCGGCCCUCAGGGGUCCCUGAUCGUUUCUCUGGCUCCAGGUCUGGCAACUCUGCUUUACUGACCAUCACUGGGCUCCAGCCUGAGGAUGAGGCUGUCUAUCACUGUCAGUCUUAUGAUGACAGCCUGAAUACUCGCACAGUGCUCCAGGCUCAAGGGGAAGUAAGACAAGAACCCCUUUACCAUCUGUCAGGAGGGCAAACACCCUGCAGCUUUGCUCAGGCCUGUUUUUUGACUUUUUCUUCUACCACUACUAUAGGCCCAGCAGAAUCUACUGGCAUUUAUUUGAAGGAGAAGCCUCUUGUCCUCUGCCCUCAGAAUCAGUCACAUCAACAUGUUUCUAAAAAAAUGUAUUCAUAA
Non-coding RNA from Ictidomys tridecemlineatus (thirteen-lined ground squirrel), 576 nucleotides. The record is from the annotation of a RefSeq genome assembly. Lineage: Eukaryota; Metazoa; Chordata; Mammalia; Rodentia; Sciuridae.